GGCAGAGGAGAGGGAGAGAGAGAAUCCCAAGCCUGCUCUGGGCUGUCAGUGCAGAGCCCUGUGGGGGGCUCCAUCUCACGAACCGUGUGAUCAGGACUUGAGCUGAAAUCAAGAAUGAGAUGCUUAACCAACUGAGCCACCCAGGGCUGAAGCAAGCACAUCUGAACGGGUCUGGCUGCUCUGGGCAGCUGGGGAAGGGCACCCACAGUGUUCUGAACAGAGUUGGAAGAACACCAGCGCUGAGAUGAGUCAGAGCCUCUCAAAGUGUGUGGUACCAAAGCAAUGCAGCACUGAAACUGUCUGUGCCAGCCUUCAAAGAUGCAUGUAGCCAGGGCCUCCCUUCAGGGGGCAGAUGAUGGAACCAUCAGUUUCAGUGAUGCCAGAGAUUUCCCAAGGAAUACGAAGAGAACUGACACUUACUCUGCACCUCCUUGAUGCCAACACCAAGUAUGGCAUUGUAUCUACUUUAUCUCGUUGAAUCCCAACAUCAACCCUACAAAGCAGAUAGAGAUGGGGGUGGGGAAGGUCCCCGUGUGGCCACCCAACCUAAAUUCAGAGACAGUAGUUUAAGGAUAGGAUCUGGAAAUCUGGUGGCAAGGGACCCAGGUGUUUGAAGAAUUAAGGAGGGCCUGAGAAAUAGCUCCUUCUACGGAGAAUGGGGCAUAUUCGGAUAGAAGUGGGAGGGGUGUCAUGAGUAUUGUCAACUGCCUGUCACUAACAUCAUCUGCUGACUCUGCUGUGGGGGUUUUGCCUUAAUCCUCCUGAGACUGCACAAAAGAGCAGAAACAAACAAAGCCAUUUCACUUGAAAGCUAUUGAGGCAGAAUGUUAUGACCUGAGGCACCCUUGCUGGGCAGCUCAGGUGGCAGAGUGCAGCCCACGGGACUCUGGAGAGACUAGACACAGACAGCACACAGUGACCUGGAGCAUGAAGGCAUAGGGCACCUGCAGCCUCAGCCUAGGCCUUGGCCAGUGGGCAAUAGACUACCCCUGACAUCAGAGCUGGGUAACAGGGACAUGGUCAACUCACUCCAUGGGCUGCUUGGAUGACUAUAGCUCUUUAAGAAUGUCACGAGACAGCCACUGGCUCCAUGUCACAUGCCCCCUCCCCACUCCCAGAGCCAUUUGGGAGGAAGUCAAAGAGGCCUAUUCCACAACUGCUACUUUUGCUGGCACAUUUUCAUCACUCUCCGUUCCCACA
Long non-coding RNA from Neofelis nebulosa (Clouded leopard), 1200 nucleotides. RefSeq lists it as uncharacterized. The transcript is spliced from 3 exons. Lineage: Eukaryota; Metazoa; Chordata; Mammalia; Carnivora; Felidae. The record is from RefSeq and is a predicted model, not a curated record.